CUGAGAUGUAGUGGAGUAGAAGCACAACAUAGAAGUACUCAAGUUAAGUACAAGCACUGGAGAGGACUGACUGUUAAGCUAUCUCUUAGAUAGAAGUCAUUCAUUAUUCAAAAGUAACGAUGUCUUUUCACCAGGCUGACAAAACUAGUCUUGUACGAAGCCACAGAUAGGGCAGGGGCAUAGGGCUGACAUUGAGCCCUUCUGGAUGUGGCUCACUGCACUCACCUGGAAAACAAGCUUCAGGGAAUGGACACGUGAACACCUACACAGUAUAAUUAAUGCUCAAAGUUUUCAUUUCAAUUAUUUCCUAUAAGACUUACAUUAAGUAUUCUAAGAUACAUUUUGGAAUUUGAGAACAACAAAUGAUCAAUCAGUCAACAUGUUUGUUAAAUUGAAAUGUCAUGACACCAACCUACCAAAUCACCUCUUUGCCAAUCCUUACAACCUACUUUCUUUCUUUCUUUUACGUGUAAUAGAAACAUAAUUUCACAUGGGAAGAAUUUAGGACUGAUGAAUUAAGACUCUGGUAUUUAAUAAUAACAAGCAGGCUUUAUAUCACUUAUUCCCAUACUUACACUUUGAGAAAUCACUUUAUAUUACAACAAAUAACUACAGUAUACUAUACACCACUGCUAUACAAUCUUGUUUAGACGUUCAGUAUAUUGUUGCAGUGACUCCUGCACAGAAUAUUGAUUUGAACAGCAACCCUUGCCACACAUAAUUUUUUAAGUUGUUUUAUUUCAGGACACUACAAACUCAGUUGAUCAUCUCAGCUGUGGACUUGAGAGGUACAAGGACUUACAGAAGUAUUUCAACAGGAGACUGAAGGCAGCAUACCGCAGAUUCUCCAACAUGCCUGAUCCCUCAUUGGUCUGUGGACUUCACCAUGUGUAUUUCAUUGAGGGUGACGGCAUCUACAGAAUGGACCGGAGACAAAGUGAGCAGAAAACAUGAAUUUGACUACUUUUGGUAACAACUCGUAAAGUCAGAAACUUGAGAACAGAGCCCUGUAAUGAUAUUGCAUUCUAAC
RNAcentral lists this long non-coding RNA (1030 nucleotides) under Cottoperca gobio. RNAcentral describes it as "lncRNA (ENSCGOG00000022664.1)". Lineage: Eukaryota; Metazoa; Chordata; Actinopteri; Perciformes; Bovichtidae. The record is from RNAcentral.